RNAcentral lists this ribosomal RNA (478 nucleotides) under uncultured organism. RNAcentral's name for it is "partial 16S ribosomal RNA". It matches the Rfam family "Bacterial small subunit ribosomal RNA", at positions 331 to 800 of the family's 1533-position model. The record is from RNAcentral.
GUACACUCCUACGGGAGGCAGCAGUGGGGAAUUUUGGACAAUGGGCGAAAGCCUGAUCCAGCAAUGCCGCGUGAGUGAAGAAGGCCUUCGGGUUGUAAAGCUCUUUUGUCAGGGAAGAAACGGUGAAAGCUAAUAUCUUUUGCUAAUGACGGUACCUGAAGAAUAAGCACCGGCUAACUACGUGCCAGCAGCCGCGGUAAUACGUAGGGUGCAAGCGUUAAUCGGAAUUACUGGGCGUAAAGCGUGCGCAGGCGGUUUUGUAAGUCUGAUGUGAAAUCCCCGGGCUCAACCUGGGAAUUGCAUUGGAGACUGCAGGGCUAGAAUCUGGCAGAGGGGGGUAGAAUUCCACGUGUAGCAGUGAAAUGCGUAGAUAUGUGGAGGAACACCGAUGGCGAAGGCAGCCCCCUGGGUCAAGAUUGACGCUCAUGCACGAAAGCGUGGGGAGCAAACAGGAUUAGAUACCCUUGUAGUCCCAUGA